Molecule: ribosomal RNA, 380 nt
Filed under: Glebula rotundata
Lineage: Eukaryota; Metazoa; Mollusca; Bivalvia; Unionida; Unionidae
Description: partial 16S ribosomal RNA
Rfam family: Bacterial large subunit ribosomal RNA
Source: RNAcentral
AAACGGCCGCGUUAGCGUGAGCGUGCUAAGGUAGCGUAAUAAAUAGCCUUUUAAUUGGAGGCCAGUGAAUGGCAAGACUAAGGACAUCUGUACCGUGUAUGUCAAAAAAAUUUUUCAUCUGAGUGAAAAGACUCAGAUAAUAAAGGAAGACGAAAAGACCCCGCGGAACUUUACCUUUUCUUGUAUAAAUAUGCCUAUAAACACAAAAACAAAAGGUUUGAUUGGGGCAAUCUCGGAACCAAACAAACUUCCGACUCACCUUAUAAAAGAAUACAAAACUUAAUAAGGACUAAAAAGAAGUUACCCCGGGGAUAACAGCGUAAUCCAACUUGAAAGUACACAUCGAAAGUUGGGUUUGCGACCUCGAUGUUGGCUUAAGG